UACAGAGGAGCCAAGCGUUAUCCGGAUUGACUGGGCGUAAAGGGCGGGUAGGCGGCCUCUUCAAGUCGACUGUGAAAUCUCCGGGCUUAACCCGGAACGGUCAGCCGAUACUGCAGGGCUAGAGUGCAGAAGGGGCAACUGGAAUUCUCGGUGUAGCGGUGAAAUGCGUAGAUAUCGAGAGGAACACCUGCGGCGAAGGCGGGUUGCUGGGCUGACACUGACGCUGAACUGCGAAAGCUAGGGGAGCGAACGGG
This 254-nucleotide ribosomal RNA is filed under the name uncultured bacterium. Its description in RNAcentral is "partial 16S ribosomal RNA". It matches the Rfam family "Bacterial small subunit ribosomal RNA", at positions 524 to 776 of the family's 1533-position model. The record is from RNAcentral.